Molecule: long non-coding RNA, 283 nt
Filed under: Ananas comosus (pineapple)
Lineage: Eukaryota; Viridiplantae; Streptophyta; Magnoliopsida; Poales; Bromeliaceae
Description: long non-coding RNA (ACOM_LNC042910)
Source: RNAcentral
AGUUCGAUUAUCGUUUUCGGGUUUCGAUACGUUACAGGAGAUCGACAGAAGAAGCCGUUAUAUGAGGUGGAGUGCUUCUACUGUCACAAGAAAGGGCAUAUCAAGCAUAAUUUUCGAAAACUUCAGGAUGAUCUGAAGGAUUAGUUAAAACGAUAGACGGAGAAAACUGUUGUAAGCGAGGACGAGACGGUAUCAGCGACGGCACAGGCAGCGAAGUCGGAGAUGAUCGAUUCUGAUGUGUUGUAUGCGGCGACCGGAGGUACUAAAAUUUCGGAUGAUACAU